This is a non-coding RNA of Schizosaccharomyces pombe (fission yeast), 498 nucleotides long. The record is from the annotation of a GenBank genome assembly. NCBI's taxonomy places the organism in Eukaryota, Fungi, Ascomycota, Schizosaccharomycetes, Schizosaccharomycetales, Schizosaccharomycetaceae.
GGGAAGGGCAGAUGGGAUAAGAUUUAGUAAAAAGUAAGCUAAUUGAAUGAAGAAUGCUUGAUGAAGAUGGCUGAAACUGUGAUUUCACUACUUCGUAAAUAAAGUCACACAGUCCGAUAGUUGGCCAGAAAGACAUAUACACUCCCAUAAUACAAAGACACGAGCCAGAUGCAUCCUAUAAUUGGGAAAUCGUAAUAAAAAACAUGUAACAAAGUACCUCUGUUUAAUUAUUGAAAAAGAUUUAUUCCUAUUACUAAGGUACGCAUUUUGUUGUGGUAUACGCGUCUUUGUUUGUUUACAUUUUGGUGGUGUGUUUACUUUCUCACUGCCCGCAUCUAAAAAUAUUAUCCGUUACCAUUGAGGGGGUUGGUCGGUGUGGUAACGGUUACCCUUCUCAGCCUCCUCCAAAAAUUGCCAUGACGUGAAGAGACAGUUUUCCAGUAUAUAUAUGGAAGGCUGCUCCAUGGGAGGUUCAGUUUUAACCAUACACUAAGUACU